ACACAUAACCGGGGGUGCUCCGUUCAGGGGCUGAGAUGCGCGACCGCGUGAACCCUUUCAUAGCUGAUCUGGAUAAUACCAGCGGAGCGAGGUAACUCAUGUUCAUA
Molecule: non-coding RNA, 107 nt
Filed under: Pseudooceanicola atlanticus
Lineage: Bacteria; Pseudomonadati; Pseudomonadota; Alphaproteobacteria; Rhodobacterales; Paracoccaceae
Description: TPP sequence
Rfam family: TPP riboswitch aptamer (THI element)
About the family: Vitamin B(1) in its active form thiamin pyrophosphate (TPP) is an essential coenzyme that is synthesised by coupling of pyrimidine and thiazole moieties in bacteria. The previously detected thiamin-regulatory element, thi box was extended, resulting in a new, highly conserved RNA secondary structure, the THI element, which is widely distributed in eubacteria and also occurs in some archaea.
Source: Rfam by way of RNAcentral